UACAGAGGUCUCAAGCGUUGUUCGGAUUCAUUGGGCGUAAAGGGUGCGUAGGCGGUGAGGUAAGUCGGAUGUGAAAUCCCGGGGCUUAACCCCGGAACUGCAUUCGAUACUGCCUUGCUUGAGCACUGGAGAGGAGACUGGAAUUUACGGUGUAGCAGUGAAAUGCGUAGAUAUCGCAAGAACACCAGUGGCGAAGGCGGCUCACUGGCCCGGUACUGACGCUGAGGUGCGAAAGCGUGGGGAGCAAACAGG
RNAcentral lists this ribosomal RNA (252 nucleotides) under uncultured bacterium. RNAcentral's name for it is "partial 16S ribosomal RNA". It matches the Rfam family "Bacterial small subunit ribosomal RNA", at positions 524 to 776 of the family's 1533-position model. The record is from RNAcentral.